This 269-nucleotide unclassified non-coding RNA is filed under the name plant metagenome. RNAcentral's name for it is "partial contains small subunit ribosomal RNA, internal transcribed spacer 1, and 5.8S ribosomal RNA". The record is from RNAcentral.
UUUCCGUAGGUGAACCUGCGGAGGGAUCAUUAAUGAGUUGUCAUGGGGUUCGAUGCUGGCAGCCGAUUUUUGGAUGCAUGUGCUUGCCCUAACAAUCAUCUUCCAAACACCUGUGCACAUUUUUGAGGGAGUCUUGAGUUGGUUGCCGCUCUUGGGUGAUUUUCUCACAUUCCCUUAAAUCAUUAUACGCUAUUAACAAUGUUGAACGUGCUCUGUGCCGCAAGGCUAUUAAUAUAAUACAACUUUUAACAACGGAUCUCUUGGCUCUC